Molecule: ribosomal RNA, 400 nt
Filed under: Sphingomonas sp. R-45731
Lineage: Bacteria; Pseudomonadati; Pseudomonadota; Alphaproteobacteria; Sphingomonadales; Sphingomonadaceae
Also listed under: 1 other name
Description: bacterial SSU rRNA
Rfam family: Bacterial small subunit ribosomal RNA
Source: RNAcentral
GCUCAGAAUGAACGCUGGCGGCAUGCCUAACACAUGCAAGUCGAACGAGACCUUCGGGUCUAGUGGCGCACGGGUGCGUAACGCGUGGGAAUCUGCCCUUAGGUUCGGAAUAACAGCGAGAAAUUGCUGCUAAUACCGGAUGAAGUCUUCGGACCAAAGAUUUAUCGCCUAGGGAUGAGCCCGCGUAGGAUUAGCUAGUUGGUGUGGUAAAGGCGCACCAAGGCGACGAUCCUUAGCUGGUCUGAGAGGAUGAUCAGCCACACUGGGACUGAGACACGGCCCAGACUCCUACGGGAGGCAGCAGUGGGGAAUAUUGGACAAUGGGCGCAAGCCUGAUCCAGCAAUGCCGCGUGAGUGAUGAAGGCCUUAGGGUUGUAAAGCUCUUUUACCCGGGAUGAUA